UGGGGAAUAUUGCACAAUGGGCGCAAGCCUGAUGCAGCAACGCCGCGUGAACGAUGAAGGUCUUCGGAUCGUAAAGUUCUGUUGCAGGGGGAGAUAAUGACGGUACCCUGUGAGGAAGCCCCGGCUAACUACGUGCCAGCAGCCGCGGUAAUACGUAGGGGGCUAGCGUUAUCCGGAUUUACUGGGCGUAAAGGGUGCGUAGGUGGUCUUUCAAGUCGGUGGUUAAAGGCUACGGCUCAACCGUAGUUAGCCUCCGAAACUGGAAGACUUGAGUGCAGGAGAGGAAAGUGGAAUUCCCAGUGUAGCGGUGAAAUGCGUAGAUAUUGGGAGGAACACCAGUAGCGAAGGCGGCUUUCUGGACUGCAACUGACACUGAGGCACGAAAGCGUGGGUAGCAAACAGG
This 403-nucleotide ribosomal RNA is filed under the name Verrucomicrobiota bacterium. Its description in RNAcentral is "Verrucomicrobia bacterium partial 16S ribosomal RNA". It matches the Rfam family "Bacterial small subunit ribosomal RNA", at positions 355 to 776 of the family's 1533-position model. The record is from RNAcentral. Lineage: Bacteria; Pseudomonadati; Verrucomicrobiota.